This 239-nucleotide ribosomal RNA is filed under the name uncultured bacterium. RNAcentral describes it as "partial 16S ribosomal RNA". It matches the Rfam family "Bacterial small subunit ribosomal RNA", at positions 96 to 334 of the family's 1533-position model. The record is from RNAcentral.
CGGCGGACGGGUGAGUAACGCGUGGGUAACCGUGCCUCAUACAGGGGAGUAACAGUUGGAAACGGCUGCUAAUACCGCAUAAGCGCACAGUACCGCAUGGUACGGUGUGAAAAACUCCGGUGGUAUGAGAUGGACCCGCGUCUGAUUAGCCAGUUGGCGGGGUAACGGCCCACCAAAGCGACGAUCAGUAGCCGACCUGAGAGGGUGACCGGCCACAUUGGGACUGAGACACGGCCCAA